Molecule: unclassified non-coding RNA, 20 nt
Filed under: synthetic construct
Source: RNAcentral
CCCACAUACUUUGUUGAUCC